AGGACGAACGCUGGCGGCGUGCUUCAUACAUGCAAGUCGAACGAGAAAUUCACUUCGGUGGAUGGAAAGUGGCGGACGGGUGAGUAAUGUGUAGAGAAUCUGCCCUAGAGUGGGGGACAACAGUUGGAAACGACUGCUAAUACCCCAUAUGCGCGUAGUUGAGAUACUAUUCGUGAAAACUCCGGUGCUCUGGGAUGAGUCUGCAUCUGAUUAGCUAGUUGGGGGUGUAAUGGACCACCAAGGCGACGAUCAGUAGCUGGUUUGAGAGGAUGAUCAGCCACAAUGGGACUGAGACACGGCCCAUACUCCUACGGGAGGCAGCAGUAGGGAAUUUUGCGCAAUGGGGGAAACCCUGACGCAGCAACGCCGCGUGACCGAUUAAGCCCUUCGGGGUGUAAAGGUCUGUCAGUGGGGACGAAACCUGACGGUACCCACAGAGGAAGCAUCGGCUAACUCCGUGCCAGCAGCCGC
RNAcentral lists this ribosomal RNA (471 nucleotides) under uncultured bacterium. Its description in RNAcentral is "bacterial SSU rRNA". It matches the Rfam family "Bacterial small subunit ribosomal RNA", at positions 26 to 518 of the family's 1533-position model. The record is from RNAcentral.